RNAcentral lists this ribosomal RNA (365 nucleotides) under uncultured eukaryote. Its description in RNAcentral is "partial 18S ribosomal RNA". It matches the Rfam family "Eukaryotic small subunit ribosomal RNA", at positions 592 to 975 of the family's 1831-position model. The record is from RNAcentral.
CAAUAGUGUAUAUUAACGUUGUUGCAGUUAAAAAGCUCGUAGUUGGAUUUCUGGAGGGAGCGUCGGCCCGUAUUUACGAGUGCGUGACGUCUCUGUCCAUCCUUGCGGGAAGGCACGGCAUUGAUUUGUUGUGUCGGAUCGCAUCAUUUACUGUGAAAAAAUUAGAGUGUUCAAAGCAGGCUUUCGCUUGAAUACAUUAGCAUGGAAUAAUAAGAUAGGACUUUGGUGCUAUUUUGUUGGUUGAGCCUAAAGUAAUGAUUAAUAGGGAUAGUUGGGGGCACCUGUAUUGCGUUGUCAGAGGUGAAAUUCUUGGAUUUACGCAAGACAAACAGCUGCGAANGNGUCUGCNAAGGAUGUUUNCAUUA